UACAUGGGGUGCAAACGUUGCUCGGAAUUAUUGGGCGUAAAGCGCACGUAGGCGGUUCGUUAAGUCGGAUGUGAAAGCCCUCGGCUCAACUGAGGAAGUGCACCCGAAACUGGCGAGCUUGAGUACGAAAGAGGAUCGCGGAAUUCCCGGUGUAGAGGUGAAAUGCGUAGAUAUCGAAAGGAACACCAGUGGCGAAGGCGGCUUACUGGUCCGGUUCUGACGCUGAGGCGCGAAAGCGUGGGGAGCAAACAGG
RNAcentral lists this ribosomal RNA (253 nucleotides) under uncultured bacterium. RNAcentral describes it as "partial 16S ribosomal RNA". It matches the Rfam family "Bacterial small subunit ribosomal RNA", at positions 524 to 776 of the family's 1533-position model. The record is from RNAcentral.